This is a long non-coding RNA of Trachemys scripta elegans, 3203 nucleotides long. RefSeq lists it as uncharacterized. The transcript is spliced from 4 exons. Lineage: Eukaryota; Metazoa; Chordata; Testudines; Emydidae. The record is from RefSeq and is a predicted model, not a curated record.
CUCUAGUCGCUCACAAGGGGGAGAUUGGACUAUGAAAAAAGGUUUCUGCUGCAGCUUGCAUUCCUGCUGCAAGGGCCUCCUCUUCAGACAGCCUUUGCCAGAGCAGAACUUUUCAAAAUGCUACAAAUAGGAUCUUCUUUUUUUCUCCUUUAUUUAACCCUUCUCCUUUUUUAAAAAAAAAAUGGGACUAAUUUUUCUUGUUUUCGGUGCUGUGCUUGGCUGUACAGUAUAUCGCAAUGUUGAGGUUAAAGCUACAAGUAUUUCUACCACCACCCCCGCUGAUCCAUUUUUUUUCCGUCUUGGUUAAAGAAAUUGAUUUAUUUGACUGAGCAAUGAAUCAGGAUUUGCUAGUCUGUAUGCUGUGAGAAUGAUGGCUUUUAUUUGAAAUUUUUUUCUCAGUGCCAAUGCCUUGUGCUGCUCAUGGAACCAGCUUCUUUCUUUCUGUAUGUUUUUUAAUUGCUUCAGGUAUCUGUGCCACAUGAACAAGGAUGGAUGAUAGCCCUCCAACCCCCUUGUAAUCUGACCGUGGCUGAAAUGGAAAUACUGCGGGGCUUUUUUGUCCUUGCAGGGUCCCUCCCCUCCCUUUCUUUCACUGUUUAGGAGGGAAAAGGGGUGUGCAGUAAAAUGCUGUCUCUGGGACAGGUGCCAGCUCCAAGACAAAAGGAAUAAAAUAGGCGGUAAAUGGGGAAAAUUAAUAGUCAACAAAAAUAGGAAUUGGAAAUGUGUAAGCGGCAACAUUGGUAGAAGUGUUGUCGGCUAUCCAGCCUUUCUGUUGAAUUUUAUCUGCAGAUAUUAGGCUAAAAGGAGAAAGUUUAGGCAUACUUUUUUAUUCAUCCUCUCUAUAGGCAUUUGAAAAGAUAAGGCGGUCUUUUUUUUUUUUUUUUGGACUACUGAAUUAUUCAUAGUGUCAGUGGUGAAGCCAGGACCAUUAGCAUGCAUCAGACAUGCUGUUUGUCUGUUUGCUAACAUUCUUCAUUCAAGACUUGUUAACUACCAGACAAGCUUAACACGCUUCUCUUUUCCCCCUCCCCUUCUCUCUCUCUCUCUCUCUCUCUGUCUCUUUCUCUCUCUCUUCUUUUCAUGCUACCCCUUUAGUCACCUAUUGUUGUUGCUGGGAGCUGGCAGCCAGGGGUAGUUGUGGCAGGGAAAGCAUGUGGACGAAAAGCUGGAACCCGUUGCUAGGAGACUGCAGAACUGCAAGGUGAACACAUUGGCAUCCUCUCUCCAUAUCUGGUCCCUGAGGCUUGUUUCCCACCAUUCACAGGGCCCUCAGAAGUUAUACCAACCAGAAUCCACUCUCAACUACCUUGGGCAUGUGCCUGCUCUGAUGUCACAGAUAACAGGAAAGGGACCGUGCUGCAGCAUAGAUCUGGAGGUUAGCGGCAAACAACCGGGAAACUGAUUUUUCAUUAAAAACAGACUCUUCUACUUUAUGAAAGCUACAUCUUCCAUAGUUGUCUCCUGCGCAGAACAUCAACCCAGUAGUACUUGAGUCGAAUUUACAAAACCAAUCAUAUCUGAAUGCUUUCAAAAUCAGACGAGCUAGUUCUUCCACCUCUAGAUCUAAGAAGUCUCUCCAUUUACUAUCCUAUCUUCCCAGUAAUUCUAACACGAGAAUCUGGAUCAAUGUUCUGCCCAAAGUGAGGGAAAGACUGUAAUUUUCCAUACUGGGAGAAAUCUGUAAAACUGUCAUCUAGUUUCCUGACAAGUUUUUUCUGACACCAUCUCUGAAAGAAUGUUUCAUUCUCGAAUAUAUAUGUGAGCAGGUUUGCAGAAACUUUUCAGAGAUUUUGAUGCUUAUAAUUCAUUUGUAUUUCACUCCAGAGUCAUUGCUGCCAGUGGAUCUUUAUAGUUCAUAAAACCUACAUGCUUGUGUUAUAAUAGAAAGUGCCAAGCUCUUAAUGAGGUAUGUUUUAGUAUGUGUUUUGGAAUUAGUCAUACAAGUUCCAUGAGUUGCAUGCAUCAGUGGCAGUGGACAGUCAAUUACUGUGCAGGACUCCAAAUGUUCAUUCUGAGCCUUCUCUGAAAGGAUGGUGUUGUGGGGGUAACAGGGCUAUGGCACUCAGUAGGUUAAAUUACCUUUGAAAUGUUCAGAGGUGCUAUUUUUACAAUGUUGGUCUUUUUAAAGUAUGGUAUAUUUCUAAAGCUACAUUGCAACCCCAAUUAUUCAAAGGUCUCAGGGCACAUGCAAAACCUUUUAGAUAAUCCGUACAGAGAAAAAAUGUAAGUGUGUUUAUUUACUUAUUUUCUUUAUUGAAAAAUGCUCAAUUUUAUUUUAUCCUGGCUUUUUAGGAUUUUUCAGUAAGAAUGUUUUAUUCUGGAUGAAGAUGCAAGCAGUUUGGCUUACAGCACCCUUUUUUGCUGUUACUUGUACAGUAUUUAGAAACUCAACAGGCUUCUGUUGAUCAGUAAUGGGCAGGAAUGUAAGCUUAUGCCAAGUGAAUAGCUGUCUUUCAUUCCUUUCUCAUACUUAACGGCAAAGUGUCAGAAAUAAUCAUCUCAGUUGUUGAAACAAAAGAAUACAAUACCCGAAGUAAGGCUUGGUAACAUUUAGCAGCAGCAUCUGUGUUAGAUUUUGUGUGUCGAUAACCUUUUUUUAUUGGAGGGUGGCGGAUUGUUUCUGAUUAUUCCCUUCUUGGCAUGCAUGUGACCCAAGACAUGAAUUUAAAAUAUUUUGAAUGAUGUGAAACCCAAGAUAAACAUCAACUUUAGAGGUCAUUGCCACUGUCUCAUAGAUGUUAAAUGUAUGUAAACCAUUUAACAAAGAGUAUUUGAUAUUUUUGGUGCUAGUUCCCUUCCCUACUUCCAUUGGUCCCAAAUAUGCAAACAUGUUUAACACUUGAAUAGAUUAUUUAAAUGUUGUGUCUUAGUAUCCAAAUGCAGUUAUGAGGCUGAUGAAUUUUCAGCAAUCUACAUAGUAUAUUGAUACAUAUCGAGAUGCAUUACAUAAUAAAAAGAUGUUGUACUGUAGGUCUGUAUUUUAUUGGAAAAGAAAAUACAAACCCACUACUUGUACUUUCUUUAGUACAAUAUUCCCCUUGUUUAUUUGGUGCCAUCUCACUGUAAGUAAUAUGUAAUUUAUAAUUUACUUACUGCAUCAUUCAUCUCCAGUGCAACUAGUUAUAAUCAUGACAGUCUAUUAGUUCUCUUUCCUUUAACUCUGCCUAGCAGGUUAAUUUCCAUUAGUAAGAUCCUGCUUUUUC